Microcebus murinus (gray mouse lemur) is the source of this 8267-nucleotide non-coding RNA. Lineage: Eukaryota; Metazoa; Chordata; Mammalia; Primates; Cheirogaleidae. The record is from RefSeq and is a predicted model, not a curated record.
AACGGCGCCUUUAAGAGGGAGCGUUGGUUACCCUGGGGGCGGGAACCCCUCGGCAGAUCGCGGGGCGGCGGCGCUCGUCCGCGAUGCUGCACACUUUCUGCUCCCGCUCCGCCGCCGCCGCCGCCGCCUCCUCGCCGCCCUCCUCCUCCUCAGCCUGGAAGCGUUGUUCUCUGCGGCGGAGGAGAGAAGUGCUAUGUCAGGAAAGUUCCGGGAGGGACUGCGCGGGGCCAUGCUCCGCGGGCUCGUCUGCGGGCGCCCGCGCGCCGCCCUUUGUACGAGGUACAGAGAGAUGCACAAAUCACAAGGGCAUAGCUCAAUGAAAUUUUAGAAAAUGAAUACAUGAACCUCCCAGAAGCCCUUUCCUAGACAUUGCUCCUACUCUUGCCAAAGGCAAAAGGACUCCUGUGGAAGAUGGAACUCAUUGUCCAUUUUCCAGAAUGUGUUUCCAAGCCCAUCAAUGGAACCUGAUACUGCUCUGCUGUGUUGAAAAGCUUGAAGAACGCCUGCAUCUCUGCCUGCAUCUUCCAUCCUGCCGAAACCAUGGUCUUCUCAGCAGUGCUGACUGCGUCCCACACUGGGGCAUCCAACACGACGUUUGUAGUCUUUGAAAACACCUACAUGAAUAUUACUGUCCCUCCAGCAUUCCAGCAUCCCAACAUCAGUCCGCUGCUUCGAUAUAGUUUUGAAACCAUGGCUCCCACUGGUUUGAGUUCCUUGACAGCGAAUAGCACAGCUAUGACCCCAACACCAGCAGUUUUUAAGAGCCUAAACCUCCCCCUCCAGAUCAUCCUUUCUGCUAUAAUGAUAUUUAUUCUGUUUGUGUCUUUUCUUGGGAACUUGGUAGUUUGCCUCAUGGUUUACCAAAAAGCUGCCAUGCGAUCUGCAAUUAACAUCCUCCUUGCCAGCCUGGCUUUUGCAGACAUGUUGCUUGCAUUGCUGAACAUGCCCUUUGCCCUCGUAACUAUUCUUACUACCAGAUGGAUUUUUGGGAAAUUCUUCUGUAGAGUAUCUGCUAUGUUUUUCUGGUUGUUUGUGAUAGAGGGAGUAGCCAUCCUGCUCAUCAUUAGCAUCGAUAGGUUUCUUAUUAUAGUCCAGAGGCAGGAUAAGCUAAAUCCAUAUAGGGCUAAGGUUCUGAUUGCAGUUUCUUGGGCAACUUCCUUUUGUGUAGCUUUCCCUUUGGCUGUAGGAAACCCUGACCUGCAGAUACCUUCCCGAGCCCCGCAGUGUGUGUUUGGGUACACAACCAAUCCAGGUUACCAGGCUUAUGUGAUUUUGAUUUCUCUCAUUUCUUUCUUCAUACCUUUCCUGGUAAUACUGUAUUCAUUUAUGGGCAUACUCAACACCCUUCGGCACAAUGCCUUGAGGAUCCAUAGCUACCCUGAGGGCAUAUGCUUAAGCCAGGCCAGCAAACUGGGUCUCAUGAGUCUGCAGAGACCCUUCCAGGUGAGCAUUGACAUGGGCUUUAAAACACGUGCCUUCACCACCAUUUUGAUUCUCUUUGCCGUCUUCAUUGUCUGCUGGGCCCCGUUCACCACUUACAGCCUUGUGGCAACGUUCAGCAAGCACUUUUACUAUAAGCACAACUUUUUUGAGAUUAGCACCUGGCUACUCUGGCUCUGCUACCUCAAGUCUGCAUUGAACCCACUGAUCUACUACUGGAGAAUUAAGAAAUUCCAUGACGCUUGCCUGGACAUGAUGCCUAAGUCCUUCAAGUUUUUGCCGCAGCUCCCUGGCCACACAAAGCGACGGAUUCGCCCCAGUGCUGUAUACGUGUGUGGGGAACAUCGGACGGUGGUGUGAAUAUUGGAGCUAUCUGACAUUUUGGGUGAUGGUUGUUGUUUAUUGACUCUGAAUUUUCUUUCCCAUAGCUUCUCCACUACACUCACUCUUUUUUAUAGGGUUUGUGUAUGUGUUUGCAGUGUAAAGAAAGAAUGGUAAUUAUUUAUGGUUUUGUUACCAAGCAUACACAAUAGGAAAGUGAUUACAGAUUUUACCUCCAGGGUUCAAGAAAAGUAGAGAGAUUUUUUUAAAUUGAUUUUGUUUUUGUAGUAGGAAUCAGAAUUAUGCUUAAUUGAGCCUGCAGUUACAUUGAAUUGUAGGUGUUCUGUAUGCUGCUAAGAUAUGCUUAGUUGAUUUUAUCAAUUUUUUUUUUUUCUGGAAGACACUGCUGCUUUUUGCCAUCACAUAGGAGCCAAAAACUCAUACAUCUAAGUUGAUAAAUAUUUAGUUUUAUUAAGAAAAAAAUAACCCAAGGCGGUUAGUGACAUUUUAAAGGUCAUUACUAUUUACUUUGGUGCACUUUAAGAAGCAAUGUACAAAUUAAUUCAGUCAUGUUUUUCAGAAUUGUUUUUAUACAUGACAUGUUAUGCUUUAGGAAACAUGUGCAUUAUCAUUUCUGGGAAGAUAGUUUUUUUAAAAAUGUAUCUGCACAUACAGUUUUAAAGGACAGGUCAUAAAAAUGUAGAAAUGUUUCUAAGCACAAUAGCAACACUUCAGAGCAAUAGGGCAAAAUGGAGACAACACUCUUGCAAAUUUAAAAGGGGAAUGCAGUGAAGAGGGUGGCUAUGGCAGGCUGUGGCAAUUCUUUUUACUCAAGGGCUCUUGCCUGGUAUAGGGAGAAGGUGCUGCCAUUUAUGGACACCUGCCAUAUGCCAGGCACUAUGCACCAUUGUAUCCUCACAGUAUCCUGUGAGGUAGGUAUUAUGUUUUUACCUUUUACAGUUGAAGAAAACAAGUCUCAGAGAGACUAAAGUCCUGACUGAUUUUAGUGGUAGAGCUGGGAUCCAAAAAUCUGUCGGAGUCCUGAGACUGUGCUGUUCUACUGUGCCACACAGACACCUCAUUCAGUUUAGAUAUCUCAUAUUCAAGAGGAAAGUCUGUAUCCUUUAACUUGUUUUAGACUAUAACCUUCUUUUUAAAAAUAGCUUUAUUUUCUUAUUACCAAAAGAAAUAUGAAAUCAUUACAGAAAGUCUGGAAAAUGGAAAAGAAAAGAUAAGCUCACAACCACCUUUUAAAGUAGAACUUAAAACACCUUAGAUAAAUAAGGCUAUAAAGGAAAUAAGGUGAAUUUCCUGAUUUUCAAAACAAGUGACUGACAAUUAUUGAGAGAUACAGCUGUAUCUAGGCCUUGGCCCUAUGGGUUUGGAGGCUUCCAGUUGUUCAUCUGCAUUGGUUCUAAAUGUUCUGGGCAGAACAGCGUUGUUGCCCCAGUGCUUGCCUUAAAAGAGAUGGAGUUUGUGACCAUGUUCAGAGGUGUGUCUCCUAUAAAGAAGGGAAAAUAAAUCCUGGUCUGAGCCUAAAGCAAGUUUCAAUAGGGCAGGUCUUCAGUUUCAUAUGAUUUUUCUUUUACUGACUAUCUGCCCCCCAGGUGCAUCCAGGGCCUGGUCACCACUGGCCCACUUCAUAAAACAGCCCAUAGGGAUAGGGCUUCAGACUGAGCCAUAAGGGCUGAAAGUGUAGCCUCUUGGCUACAUCAUGGGCUAACUAGGUAAGUUAACUAUGGAUUUAUAGCAUCUUUUCAGAAUUUUAGUGCUUUGUGAGCCAGUGGAAAAAAUAAGCCUUUAGUUGUAAACCUAGAGAGUUGGAUCAGAUGAAUCCCUCAGGUCCUGUAUGACUCUAAUGUGCUUUUUUUCCAAUGAGAGUAUGGAUUUUUGAGGAGCCCAGAUGGCUUCAGCAUCACUCUUUGGUCUCCAGUAUUACUUUUUUUACAUGUUACUUCAUUAGCUAUUUCUUAAAACUGAAUGUCUGAAGAGCUCGUGGCACGGUGUCUGGAGUUAGGAUGUUGGAAGAUUGAUGACAUCACGAAAGACCUGGGAAAGUUGCAGCGGUAUUAGAACUCAUUGUCGGGUUAAAGAGCUCUUUUGGGACUCAAGCAUAUUAUUCAACAUGUUGUUUUGGGAUCAUCUUCAGAUGAUAGUCACCUACCUCUUUAAUUUCUAAUUUAUAUUAUUUGCUGGUAAAAUUGUUUUUGUCCAUAGGGAUUGUAUAGGACAUAAGCACUGUAGUAGAUAGUAGUAGCACGUUGAAAUGUAUUAUGCUUUCCAUUUUCACUAUAAACUGGAUUUCAAUAGGAAUAUUUUUGAUUAGACUUCCUCUGAGGAAAGUCAGCAUGGUCUGUAUUCAUCUUACAUAUUGGUAGGUCAUAAGACUCCCGUUGUGGCUGGAGUUGAAACUGAGCUUUGUUUCUUUGUUAUUUUAUGGGCCAUCUUUAGGUACUUCUAGGCUGCUUAGUAGGCAGCGCCCCAUUUGGUGAGAGCUCUGAGUGCCUGCUAAGGUGCUCCGUGUUGGUAAAAGAAGACUUUGAGGGCCCUUUUGAGAAUUCAGCAACAGCGCUGAGCAGCAGUUCUCCUUACACUGGAUAAUCUUGAUGAGAUGACAGUUUACACAUCAUUUUGGACAUUUUUAUUGCAUAUACAUUUUGAAAGCUUUAAAAAACAAGUACUAUGGUGCACCUUCAAUAAAUUAGGUGCAAAAAUCAUGUGUUGCCUAAUCCCUAUAUUCUCUUGAGGGGAAAAAAAUACCACUACUAAUUCUCACUGCUGACUGAAAUAAUCAGAAAUGGGUUUUUUGGUUGUUGAAUUUUUGCUUUUCCUUCUGGCUAGUAAGUAGGAAGCAUAAAAGAGAUGACAAAAUAUUUGUGGUCAAAAGAAAGAGUCAAGAGAAAUCCCAAAUAUUAAUAGUAUGGAGUAGUGUUAUUUAAACUUUAAUAUGUGUUUAGUUAUCCCCAGGGGAGCUAAACAGUACAGAUUCCUGGGCCCUCAGAGGGUCUUCCACUGGGCCCUGGAAUGCACAUUUUUAUUUUGGCAAGUGCUCCGCCUGCUUCUGGCUCAGGUGGUCCCUGAGACACACUUCAAGAAGUGUAGAAGAUACAUCUAUUUAAAUAUUGUCUGUUUUAUCCCAAAAUGUUUGUUUUGUGUUAGAGGCCAUUAUCUUCUAGGCAUGGGUGAUCUGCAUUGAGAGGAAAAUCUACAUAUCAUUGUGCCUCAUUUGCUGCCACCUGUGUUUGUGCUGGAUCUUGCCAGUGUUAGCGUUACUUUCUUUCAACUGGCAAAAUUCUUAUAAAACCAUAAAGUUUCACAGUAGAGCAAAAAGAGUAACUUAAUUAAAAGUCAUGACUUUCAGAAGUCUAAUUAGUCUAAUUUUUUUUUCUCCUAGAGAGAUGUCUUUGUUGUGUGUAAUCCCUGAAGAGUAUGAGGAACAUGUAAAGAUUCAUCUAAUUCCUACUGCUCUGCUUAUGCCAGUUGUGUUCAAUGGAAGCAUGAAGUUACAAAAGAAGGUUGAUUUACAAAAGAAGGCUGUCAUUGAAUCUGUACUUGAUAUUUCCUUCUGAAAUGGAAAGGUAAGAAAGCUGUAGCAAAAUAAAGUAACAUGUUGAAUUAAAAGCAUAUUCACAUGUAUGAAAAUAAUAAGCCCCACUCAAUUUAUCUAUAAUAAAGAGAACCCUUAUGGAGCAAUUUCUUUCUAUCUUAAAUAUCAAGGCACAAUUAGAUUUAAUGCAAAAAAGAAAAAAUAAAUAUUUCAUAGCACUAUCAGUCAAGGUUUAGCCAGAGAAGCAGAAUUAGUAGGGUUUAGCCAGAGAAGCAGAAUUAGUAGAAGAUAUUUAUUGCAAAGAAUUAGCUUACAAGAUUUUAGUGCCGGCUAGGCAAAUCUGAAAUCUGGGGCAGGCCUUCAGGAAAGGAAGAUUAGAGCUCUCAGGCCCAAACUGCAGGUGUUGUCCACAGGUGUAAUUUCUUUUUCCUCACGGAGGCCUCAGCUCUGCUCUUAAGGCCUUUCAAUGGAUUGAAUCAGGCCCACUCAGAUUAUCUAGGCUAAUGUCCCUUAAUUAAUGUGGACUGAUUAUAGACUUUAAUCAUAUCUUCAAAAUACCUUCAUAGCAACACUUAGAUUAGUGUUUGAUGGGGCUAUAGUCUAGCCAAUUGACUCGUCAAAAGACCAUCUCAAUGUUUAUUUCUAAGUUUAAAAUACUAUAUGAAAUAAAAUCUUUCUGUGAUGCUAGAGGUGGUGGUCCAAAAAAUCAAUCACUUAAAUCUUAGUGUUAAAUAAGUGGGAGGUUUAAAAAAUGACCAAGUUAAACUUGUUGCAAAGUAUGGAAUACACAUUGACUGUGUUAUAUUCAAACAUGCAUAAUCACAGGGCACCAACCAUAUUUUUCUUUUUCACUUUAUUUUGAGAAAGGUAGUAGUAAUCAAUUGACCAAUCAAUUGAUGAUAUAUAAACCAAUGUCCUUUCUAUAUAAACUUUCAUUAUCUGUGAUACUUGCCAGAGGUGAUACUUUUCUUCUAAGGAAUUUGAAAGUAUUUAUAAUUAUAACAAUAUUAACUCUAAACAUAAAAAUACAAUAAUAGAAUAAUACUGGGUGCCAUUGUUUGGCCACUUGUGGUCAAAAUACACUUUUAUCUAUUUUAAUCCACAGUAUUUCUACUUUUCUAGCUGUGUUCCCAAGAGGGUAAGUAAAUUUUCAGGUAUAGUUGGGGUUCACAUAGUUGGGAUUCACAUUUAGGAUACUUUUCCCUAUAACAGAUAACGGAACUGAGCCUCUAGUGAGAAGAGCUUAUUAAACAUCAUACUGGGUGAUGAUUAUUCUCCAUGCAUUAGGUAAAAAAUAAUCCUAGCAGUGGAACCUAUAUUCCAAGCUAUGGAUAUUAAUGCUAGAAUUGGGUUGGUUUGGUCUUGGUUUUUAGUCAUUAACUGUAUUUGGAUAAGUCAGAAAUGAGACUUUUAGGCUGACUGGGCCCCUGAGAACGUUGAACACAACCAUGUCUAAUGUCAUAGAAGCUUCAUGGACCUAGCCAAUUGGCAGAAAUUUUGGGGACACAUUGACACUCAGCCACUUUCCUCAGAUCACAUGGAUCCUACAACCCCUUUUGGAAAGGCCUUCACCCUGAUACACAAUUGGGGUUUUAUUAUGUCUGAAGUACUGGGGGUUACCUGUAGUAGCCAAGAAUGAGGGAGAGGAGGUGGAGGUGAUGAAGUCUGGUAGAUCAGGGAAGGCAAGGUGGUGCCUAAAUGUUGGCAGAGGCAGUGUGAGUCUUUCCUGAUCACGCCUCCACCUUGUACCCUACCUUCCUUGCUGGGGCUACCUACCUCAGCCCUCUGGGGAAGAAAAACCCAAAAUAUAAAGAAAAACUGUCUUGAAGACUCCAGCAGUUCUAUAGAAGAAAACUCUGAAGUAGCCAUCCCUGAGAAGUGAUUUCGCCCUCCAGACCGUGAGCCCCUUGAGCCAAUGAAUAGUGUUGACCUCAGUGCUUGUUCACUCAAUAUUAUUAUUAUUACAGACUUUUUUCUAUGAAACAGAAAGCUGAAGCAGAGGUGAAGACCAAUGUUUGGGUGUUCAGAAGAUAUCAGUGUGUGAGGAUCAGAAUAUCAGCAUCUUCAUAUGUAAACUGACCCAGUGGGACUUUCCUGAGUGUCAAUAUUGUCUAUGUAUUAAAUAUGAAUAGAGUAAUGACCCACCAGUUUGGAAUUUAUGAUAAGUAGGCACUGGUUUGUAUGUGAUUAAUCUAUCUAAAUAAAAUUGAUUAAACCAAUUAAUAAUAUAAACAUCAUUGGAGAGUAUAUACCUCUCAAAAAUAACAAAUGGGAUAAGCCAAGAGUGCUGAGCUGGGAUUCAGGAGCCCUUGGAUCCUUGUGCCAGUUUUGAAACACCUGGUGUGUCUCCAGAACUCUUUCAGCCCAUCAUAAAAUGGCCAUAUUUUUAGAUGCCCUUAAAGUCAUGACUGGUAUAGUAAUUAGAAUUGCCCAAUCAAUUGAAUCAUUUGUAUUAAAAAAGGUACCAAAAACUCUGUUACUGUAAUUUGUUAUUGUACAUUUUUGAAAAUAAUGAAACAAAAUUUUUAAAAUUAUGUAAUUUAACUUCUGUGACAGUAGCUCCAUUAGAGGUUUUCAAAUGCGUUAUACUCCAAUAAGCAGAUGAGGAACAGUUUUGGGACAAGAAAAUGACUUGACUAAAUUUUGAUAGCACUUAGGAGGCAAAGCUGGGAUUCAGACCAGACUCACCAGCUCCCAACUUAAGAGUUAUUUCCACUUCACCCUGAGUCAGUGAGAUUUUGCUGCCAGGAAGAGAAAUGUUGAAUAGUGAGGUUGCAAGGUUCAUAAAAUAAAAAAUCCAGUAAUCAAGAAGAGGCCAUGCAAAUGAUCCUAGAAAGUAUCUUAUUUUUUUUUUUAUGAGUUUGCCUACUUUAGCUAGAUAUCUUGUAUCACAGGAAUCAUAUAAUAUUUGCCCUUUUGUGUCUGUCUUAUUUCAUUUAGCAAAAUGCUUUCAGAGUUC